AUUAACGGGACAUUCCAAGUCGUAACUUUCAAAAGUUCCUUCAAAACAAAUUAAAACGUAAAAAACGGAGAUCGGGUAAUGAGUCUACCUUUUCAAAUUUCAGGUGAAGUUUUCACGUGUACCUGGCCAACUAGGUGCUCGUGACAAUAGAAAUAAAAUUGCCUAAAAUCCAAUAAUCCAAGUUCGCAAGCUAUGUCUUCUGAAGCUAAACAAUUUCUGUUGCAAGAUUUUGUAAAUCUUCAAGAUAUUGAUGGUUUCGCCAGAUCAAAUGCUUUGAUGCUAUCUAUUUUGAGGCACAACAGCAAGAAAAUGCUGCCACUUAGGAUUUUGUGGUAAUCGCCACCUAGUUCUAAUUUAGGAGGACAAUGUUAAUCCCUCUCCUCUGUUUUGGAAACUGACAAGAGAUUGCUGGAAUUGAAGACUGAUAAUUUGUGAAGGUUUAUCGUUUAUGUUCCCGUAAUUGCUGUCCGGUGUGGCACGUAGUUGUUGUCUAUGCUGGUGAAAGGCUGAAAGUGAAAGCUCUUAUUGCAUGAAGUUAAACUGGCUGUUCCUUGGUACUGCUGUCGUGUUAAAUUGUUAUUGUGUCUAUACUCUAUACAGUUUACUGUUUAUGUGUUAAGAAGGAACAAAAACAGAAAUAUGGGGAUGUUUUAUGUCAAAAAAUAAUAAACAUUUGUUCGGGAUUGGGAUAGGAAAGUAGAGGAUGUAGUGGGGAGGAAUCAAUUAAUCUGUAACCCAACAAACAUAUACUUACUAUUAACCUCCAAAUCCCACCAACUUCUAAUCUUCAAACCCCACAAACAUAAACCCAGCCCACUCACCUACCAACUCUCAAACUUAUACCUUAAACCCCAUUAACCAGUGUUAACUUAACAAUAUGAUGUAUGUAAUAAAUAUAAAUUGAUACAUAUACGAACGUU
RNAcentral lists this long non-coding RNA (920 nucleotides) under Daphnia pulicaria. RNAcentral describes it as "uncharacterized LOC124336567, transcript variant X1". The record is from RNAcentral. Lineage: Eukaryota; Metazoa; Arthropoda; Branchiopoda; Diplostraca; Daphniidae.